GGGGUUUAGAAUUUAGAAUUUAGGGUUUAGGGUUUAGAGUUUAGGGUUUAGAGUUUAGGGGUGGGGUUUAGGGUUUAGAGUCAAGGGGUGGGGUUUAUGAUUUAUGGUUUAGGGUUUAUGAUUUAGGGUUUAGGGUUUAGAGUUUAGGUUUUAGGAUUUAGAGUUGGGGAAUGGGGUUUAGGGAUAAGAUUUCAAAUUGUGAAAAAAUAAAAAAAAUUUAAAUUUUUCAAAAGAUAAAAUGUUAUUUUGGUCAUUUUAGUUUUUGAUGACUAUUUUUGUGACAUAAACUUAGAAAUGUGGUAUUUUGGAAAUUUGUCCAAAAAAUUAUAUAAUAUGUUGGGGAGAAACACUAAUGUGGAAUGAGAAAGGACUCGAUAAAUCAACCUUUGCAACUUGUUAAGUAGAGAAAAAUCAAUAAACAAAGGAGUUUUUCUUUUUCAGGUUCCUAUCAGAAAACUCCUCCAAUAAGAAGAGUUAGAUAAUUUCCAAGGUUAUGUAAGAGUUGUAGAAAAGACAUACAAUUAUAUUCAUACAUAAUCAACCAGUGAAUAAACGACAUGAUAGGAAAUGAACUUAAUAACAACAAAGUGAGAACACACAAAUAUAGAGUUAUCAAGGCUACAAGCACUCGUUUUACAGAGAUACUGCUUCUCUGCCUCAUCCUCAGAUGAGUGAUGUCACCCUCGAAUUUUCCUGCAGCUUAAUCUUCUCAAAGAGGUACUGCUUCUCUGCAUCAGCCUCACUCAGUCUCUGUUUCACAUAGCUGCUUGCGUAUUCCCCUAAGACUCGUCCAUUUUCGCUAGUACAAACCUCUGAAGUUUCUCAGCUUCCCGCUUUGCUUCGUUCUAACCGCUCCACAUACCUGCCGUUUUUUUUUUUACUGUAGAGGUGACUGAAUCAUCAGGUGACCUCUGCGUCGUGUUGACUUUUGACUCCAUUUGGGGCAAUUGCGAAUACGACAUUGUUGGUAAAAUUUAAGCUUAAUGAGGGAGCAUACACAUGAUAUGGGCCAAUGUGGAUGUGGUAAUGUCAAAAUCAAGGCAGGCUGUUUUUUCCUUUGUGGAUGGGCUUUAAGUUAAUUUUUGAUAGUGGAUUAACAAAGAAAAUUGUAUGCCAUUGUUUUUGUGGUCCAUCACCUAUAAGUUGAUCGCUUUUAACGAAUCUAGACUACAACAAGAAAAGUACAUACAAAGGUAUCCAAUUCAUCACAUUCCUAGCUUUUCUUAUUUACAAUCUACUUUUAAUUUGAUACGCUAAGUUCUUGCUUUUCGGAUGUCAAUUGUUGGACUAUAGUUUGCAUAUCUAUAUGUAAAAUAUCAUCUAUUAAACUCUAUAUUGUUGGCCAACCAGUGUACUCUUUAAUUUGUUGUUUCACGUUUUUGUAGUAGUCAGUCUUAUAAUUCAUAUGGACUCUAGUGUGCAUACGUAUAUAAAAAUAUCAUCUAUUCAACUUUAUAUUGUUGGGCAGCCAGUGUACUCUUCAAUUUGUUGUUUCACGUUUUUGUGGUAUUCAAUGUAAUAAUUCAUAUGAAUUCUACCAUUAUUACAUGUCUAAGUUAAUAUGUAAUCACCCAACUCAGCUUGAGUUAUCUUUGGCAUGAAAACAGAACCAUUGGAUGGAAUGAAAACAGAACCAUUGGAUACAGACUCUCUCCCCGAAAAAGAUAACACUCCAUUUUGUAUGGUCAUUUCACUGUAUAGCUUCGUCCAUUCCAUUGCAACUAGACUGAUUUCACCGUAUUGUUUGACAACGGUUUUUUUUCUGUUGGUUAAUGAAAAUUCACAUUCCACAACACAAUAAAAUCCAAAUCUUAUCCCUACCAAGUACAUGAGAACAUCCAAACAAAAUUAAACGAAUAAAUUUUUGUUGAUUUUUUGAUGAAAUUAAUUUCUUUUUUUUAAAGAGUAUGGGGAUUUCAUUGUAUACAAAACGGUACUGUAGCACCUUUUUUCUUCCAUUAUCAAAAAGUGUCUUCUCCAGGAAAAAAAAAGAAGUAUUGUUCAAAGAGACAGUAUAAUUUCUCUAAAUAAUUAUAAUUUCUCUAAAUAAUUAUCUAUAUAUUCACGUUAACCAAAGACGUGAAAUUAAUGAUGUUGGAGGUUAGUCUUCUUUUCACAUUAAACCUUUUUUUUCGAACAACUCUUUUCACAUUAAACCAAAAAGUGAAAUAAAUGAAGUGUGAGCUUAUAUUUAUUUUUUAAAGAAAAGAAAAGAAAAGAAAAAGCAGAAGAGACAAAACAGCUACACGUUGGCAGUAUCUAAGGAGAAAAGAUCCCACGUUUAUUAAUACAAAUCUUGUAAUGAAAUGCGAACUUGAAAUUUCGUAAUCGUAACAAAUCGGAGUAAAUAAUACUAAUAUGAUAAAGAAUACAAUCUUGUGAACUAAUCGUUUAUUAAUAAAAAUCUUGUAAUGAAAUGACGAACUUGAAAUUUCGUAAUCGUAACAAAUAGGAGUAAACAAUAAUAUGAUAAAGAAUACAAUCUUGUGAACUAAUAGUUUAUUCAUUCCCGGUCCGGCCAAAGCCGGAUCAGACUACGUUGACGGGUUUCCUAAGGAACAUGAGCGAAGAAGGUGGCGCGUCUCCAAGCCACGCGCCGACGUAAAAUUGUUAUACAGCCAUGUGCCUUUACCAGCAUGUGAGUCAAAGAGAUCUCCCUUUUAUGCGCCAUAAAAUUGCUUAGAACCUUUAUAUUGUGGUGGACCUCAAACAAAUUGACAGAGAAGCUAUGGUAGGCGAACGUCAUCGAGAGGAUAAUACUCUUUGGAUCUAGACACCGUGUUGAAAGAAAUACACUCAGAUGAAAAGAUAUUCACAUCGAUGAAAACAGAAAAUAAAUGAAGAAUCCAUUGCAGAAAUGAAAAAAAUGAGUUUAGAGAUUUUAAAGACAUAUACGAGAGAGAAAGAGAAUAAGAUUAAUUAUUUGGGAAAGAGAUUUUUUAGAAGAGACACGGAAGAGAAAGGGAGAGAGAUAGAAGGAUUUUGGGCAGGGAUAGUUUUGGGGUUUAAGAAUAUCUAUGAGAUAGUUAGCUAAUUAUGAGUUUUUUCAUCUAUAUGUGACCUAAUUACUCUAAAUAUUUCGAAUAGUAAUCUUCAAUGUUAAAUAUUUUUGUGGUCACAUUAGUUACAAUUAGGAUAAGUUUCUUAGCACUUGAUCAUUGAUUCAACAUAACUGAAUUGUAUUUCUUGUCAUCGAUCAUAGUCAUAGAGAUUAAACCGGAGAUUACAAUGGUGGAGUGGAAAAAAAAUUAACCGUUAAUUUACCAUGGAUAAAUCUCUUUUCAGUGAAGAACAAAUAGAAAAGCAUAUAAAAUUGAUCAUGUCUCGAUUAGAUUAGAGUUUGAGUAAUUAAGAAUUUCUCCUUCUCCAUCGCCAUUAACGUUGCAUCGCAACGAGAGAGAGAACGGUUUCCCACAAUGUGUCUAAAAUUCUGGUUUUUUUUUGCCAUUUUUUUAUUUUCUUCUUUGAAACUAAUCCAGAUGAUUAUAAGCAAAAAAACAUGCCACUUUAAAACAAUUUUGAACAUCUCUAUUGCCAUAAAAUGUAAAUAUUCAGUAUUUAACCUACUAGAUAAAUUACUUUUAAAGUAUGAUUCAAUGAGUAAGCGCUUUUAUGUAAAGUAAAAUGAUAUGUGUUCCCCCACUUCAAAACCCAAGAUGAUAUAUCCUAAACUUUUGGUUUCUUUGUUGCAGUGCAAAUAGAAAUAAUAGUUCCUGAAACAGAGUAUAACGUAAACAAGCUCCAACACAUGUGAACAAGCACACACAUAGACAUUAUUAGUUUUCAAAGUCAAGAAAGGAAAAAAAUUAGAGAAAAUGACUAGGAUAGUACUAAAAAUUUUUUUGUCACAAAUAUAGCCUCUAAAAAUAAAAAUGAUUAAAAUAGCACUUAAUGUUUUAUCCAAUGGUAAAUUAAUUUAAACAUUAGGGUUUAGAGUUAAGGGGUGGGGUUUAGAAUUUAGAAUUUAGGGUUUAGGGUUUAGAGUUUAGGGUUUAGAGUUUAGGGGUGGGGUUUAGGGUUUAGAGUCAAGGGGUGGGGUUUAUGAUUUAUGGUUUAGGGUUUAUGAUUUAGGGUUUAGGGUUUAGAGUUUAGGUUUUAGGAUUUAGAGUUGGGGAAUGGGGUUUAGGGAUAAGAUUUCAAAUUGUGAAAAAAUAAAAAAAAUUUAAAUUUUUCAAAAGAUAAAAUGUUAUUUUGGUCAUUUUA
Molecule: long non-coding RNA, 4203 nt
Filed under: Brassica napus (rape)
Lineage: Eukaryota; Viridiplantae; Streptophyta; Magnoliopsida; Brassicales; Brassicaceae
Description: long non-coding RNA (BNAP_LNC012262)
Source: RNAcentral